GUUACCGAACAAGCUCUCUAUGAUGCCGGCUUGAGUCUGGUCCCCCGAAUAGGUAUCGCCCGAUCCCCCGGCUUUUCUUUUUGUUCGGCUCUUGGUCCGGCUUUUAACAUUUUUGUCGGUAUUGCAGGGACACCACCAAGGAUGAGGCCGACGGACGCCGAGAUUCGGCAGUUCGCGACGAGGAAGAGGCCAGCGUCGGGGGCUGGCCCUUCACGCCCUCC
This 221-nucleotide long non-coding RNA is filed under the name Elaeis guineensis (African oil palm). Its description in RNAcentral is "long non-coding RNA (EGUI_LNC008767)". Lineage: Eukaryota; Viridiplantae; Streptophyta; Magnoliopsida; Arecales; Arecaceae. The record is from RNAcentral.